UGUUCAGAAUAAAAACCCUUAUACAGUGUGCAAAUUUUAACUCUGAACAAACAAAUCUCCUAUAUAUUCAAUUCUUAAAUAUACCUACAAGUCAAAUGCCCCUUAAGAUAUGCAAACAAUCUUACCUACUUUCAUGAUUUUCAAUAAACGUCAAUGUCUUGUAGCAAUUUGAAAUAGUGUGUAGGGUAGGUAGUAGAUAGUUACGGUAGUUCAGGUUAGAGCUGUAUGAUAUUUUGCAUAGUUUUAGGCAAAUUUAACACUAGAUUUAACAAUUUAGUUAUCAUAAGGUCAUUUCCCACUUGGAAAUUCUUGGGAUAUCAAUUUUGGGAAAAACGUAUAUUUUUCGAGGUAGAGUGGAUUGGGUUAGCUUUUCGUGCGGCUAGGGAGAUAGAGAAUUAUAAUUAUUGGAAUUCACUGUUUAUCAGGAUUUAUCUCCUAGCUCCUGUAUCUGAUACUGGUUGGCUGAUCGAAUUGAUGGUAUAGUUGGGAAUCAGUAUAAGUAGUUUGUUUUAUCAGAUUUGAAGCAGCCUGAAGAGAAUACCAAUUGGGAAUUUGAUUAGUGUAUAUAGUUAGGAAACAACGUCGAAUUAGAAUAUUAGGAUGGUAGUCAUAAGUUUGAGUUUAGAACAUUGCGGACGAGUUGCAAGCUAUAACAUCUAGGUAAGAAUUAGGUAUCUCUUAAG
Long non-coding RNA from Photinus pyralis (common eastern firefly), 683 nucleotides. RefSeq lists it as uncharacterized. Lineage: Eukaryota; Metazoa; Arthropoda; Insecta; Coleoptera; Lampyridae. The record is from RefSeq and is a predicted model, not a curated record. The transcript is spliced from 3 exons.